Molecule: ribosomal RNA, 451 nt
Filed under: uncultured bacterium
Lineage: Bacteria
Description: partial 16S ribosomal RNA
Rfam family: Bacterial small subunit ribosomal RNA
Source: RNAcentral
GUGGGGAAUAUUGGACAAUGGGGGGAACCCUGAUCCAGCCAUGCCGCGUGUGUGAAGAAGGCCUUUUGGUUGUAAAGCACUUUAAGCGAGGAGGAGGCUACCGAGAUUAAUACUCUUGGAUAGUGGACGUUACUCGCAGAAUAAGCACCGACUAACUCUGUGCCAGCAGCCGCGGUAAUACAGAGGGUGCAAGCGUUAAUCGGAUUUACUGGGCGUAAAGCGCGCGUAGGUGGCCAAUUAAGUCAAAUGUGAAAUCCCCGAGCUUAACUUGGGAAUUGCAUUCGAUACUGGUUGGCUAGAGUAUGGGAGAGGAUGGUAGAAUUCCAUGUGUAGCGGUGAAAUGCGUAGAGAUCUGGAGGAAUACCGAUGGCGAAGGCAGCCAUCUGGCCUAAUACUGACACUGAGGUGCGAAAGCAUGGGGAGCAAACAGGAUUAGAUACCCGGGUAGUCC